Molecule: ribosomal RNA, 403 nt
Filed under: uncultured bacterium
Lineage: Bacteria
Description: partial 16S ribosomal RNA
Rfam family: Bacterial small subunit ribosomal RNA
Source: RNAcentral
AUUGAACGCUGGCGGCAGGCCUAACACAUGCAAGUCGAGCGAGCGGCGGACGGGUGAGUAAUGUAUGGGGACUGCCCGAUAGAGGGGGAUAACUACUGGAAACGGUGGCUAAUACCGCAUACUAUCGGAUAACCCAUAUGGGAUUAGCUAGUAGUUGGGGUAAAGGCGAACCUAGGCGACGAUCUCUAGCUGGUCUGAGAGGAUGAUCAGCCACACUUGGCCUGAGACACGGCCCAGACUCCGACGGAGGCAGCAGUGGGGAAUAUUGCACAAUGGGCGCAAGCCUGAUGCAGCCAUGCCGCGGGUAUGAAGUAGGCCUUAGGGUUGUAAAGUUCUUUCGGUAGCGAGGCGUUAACUACAGAAGAAUCACCGGCUAACUCCGUGCCAGCCGCCGCGGUAAUAC